This 3543-nucleotide long non-coding RNA is filed under the name Sus scrofa (pig). RNAcentral's name for it is "lncRNA (ENSSSCG00055023629.1)". The record is from RNAcentral. Lineage: Eukaryota; Metazoa; Chordata; Mammalia; Artiodactyla; Suidae.
UUCUAAUAAAUUGAAAAAUAAAAAUGCAGAAAAUGUACUAUACUAUAUUCCCAUAAAUAAAUUUUCUUACCAAAAAUGCAAAUGACAGUCCUUAAAAGUCAUUUCCAGAAGUAAUGUGACGUCAAUUUCAAAGAAAACUGUUAUUAUAUAAAAUCUACCUUUUACAUACAAUUUUGGUCCCAAGUGCUACACAUACACCCCUUAUACACUAAACAUAUAAGAAAAUUUAUCUCAGUCUCCAAACUUAAGUCUUUCCCCCUCAAGAUUAUAGCACACUUAAUAAGUGGAAUUUAGGGAUUCCUUUCGUGGCUCAGUGGUUAGCGAAUCCAACUAGGAACCAUGAGGUUGCGGGUUCAAUCCCUGGCCGUGCUCCGUGGGUUAAGGAUCCAGCAUUGCUAUGAGCUGUGGUGUAGGUUGCAGACGCAGCUCGGAUCCCGCAUUGCUGUGGCUAUGGUGUAGGCUGGUGGCUACGGCUCUGAUUCGACCCCUACCUAGCCUGGGAAUCUCCAUAUGCCGCGAGAGAUUUUUGCCAAGAAAUGGCAAAAAAAGACUUUAAAAAAUAAAAAUAAAAAAUAAGUAGAAUUUAAACAUUAACAGAAACAGGCUCUUCUAGGAUUGCUUGUGCAGCAUUUUAGUAAAUGUGAUUUUGCAAGCCUGUAACAAGCUGUUAGGUGUUUUGAGUGCCAUAGGAAGACAGUCUUAUGCCCCACGUAAUCCUGCAUCUUACUGGGGUGAACUGCAGUAAAUGACAUUCCUGGGGUCUGUACCCCUUUUAAUUUUCCCUCCUGCACCACUGUAGAUAACUCUCCUAGGGCAUUUGUGGUUUGCUGAUGGGAAUGAUUUUAUCAACCCUAAGUCAAUUUUCAUUCCCAGUUACAUUCUUACUCAGAACUACCCAUAUAUUAGUCUUUCAUUAUAAAAUAAUGCCCUGCUUUCAGACUCUCGCUCUAUUUUGGUACAUCCUUUUAAAGUAAAACGCAUGCCAUUAAAACACAUUUGUUCCAUUGAGUCAGAUUUUUAGACUCAUUAUGAUGCUCUUUGUUGACACAAUAGCUCCUUCAGACACACAACAAUCUGUCAUAAAAGACCCAUACUUGGAUGGAUGACAAAAGUGUUUUGCAAAGGCUGUCUUCUCAAUGCAGUUGCUGUCAAAGACAUAUAUUAAUAUCGUCCUAGUUAAAGAGUAUUUAGUCUAAAGCCAUUUAAAUAGAAAAUGACUUCAUGAGCUAUUUCUGCAAGUUCAGUUGCUUCUGAGAACCCAGUGUUAUCACAUACUCAGCGGCAGACAUGAAGAGCAGCUAAUGUCAUCCUGAGCGCCCCGCCAGGAACGAGUCUCUGCCUUUCUGGACCUUGGAAUGGAUUCCCAAUCAUUGAUUUUUCAUUUUUUCCACAAUCAAUAAGCAUUUCAGAUUUCAACUCACGUAAACGCUUGUCUUAUAUCAGUAGAAAAAUAAAAAGCCUAUGUGAAAAUGCUACCAGGUUCAAAAUAUUAAAGUUGGGUCAUCUGUUACAAAAAUAAAUCUGAAAAUAAAAAUGUGUUUUUUCCCCUCAGGAGUAUUAAAACUAGCACCUAAAAGAGAGGGGGUAACAUAUCCUCCAGAGUGAGGUCAUGUUUUAUUCUUAAUCACUCCUGAUAGACUUAGGACUCAAAGGUAAUAUUUGGGGCAAUUAAAAUGCCAUAUUGAGCUUACACCAGACAGACAGAAAGAAGAGGAAUAAGAAUAUGUUUCAAAAUUUAAUUUCUGCACCAUUUUAUUUGCUAUGCUACCAUUUAAGUUCUGAUUUAUCUCUUUCUAGAAUAUAAAUGGUAACGCCAAAAUAUUUUGAGCGCCAAUUAUGUAUUUAUAAAGAUAGAGCUAGAAAGAAGCUUAGAGUUCAGAAACAUUAAGUGAUUUAAGAUCAUAUAGCCAGCUGAUGAAAAACCAAAGACCAGAGUUUAAUGUUUAAUAAAAUAUCUAGGAAUUAACAAGAAAGAUGCAGGGCCAGUUCAAAACUUUAUCUGAAGAACAUAAAAGAAUGCUACUGAAGGGUGACACCUUAUCCAUUACUGGAUGAGAAGAAUGAAUAAUACAAAAAUAUCAAAUAUCUUCCAAAUAAAUCUAGAGUCACCUCAUUUAUUACAAGAAAAUUCUUGUUGAACCUUAACAAGAGUGAGAAAGAAAGUUGGAAGAUUAAAAGGGUUGUGAGAAGGAAGGGAGCCAAGACAUUUCUUUUUAAUAAAAUUACAUUAAAUUUUUAAAAGAGAGACUAUUAAUGCUAUAUAUUAAUACAAUCUAUAUAGUGGCAAUGCUUAAAAUACUGUUAUACUGGUAUAAGAUUAGGAAGCAUGGCGCUGAAGAAGUAUACAAAGCCCACGUAUCAAAACAUCUUCAUGAAUGAGAGAGGCAGUAAUUCAAUCCAGAGAGAGGAGAAUUGUUCAAUUCCCGGGAUAAUUGGCCACUGCUAGAAACCCAAUGUUAGAUCCCUAUUCUAAACAAUAUAGCAAAAAUAAGGUCAUUGUGAAUUGAAGAGCCAAGUGUAAAGUAAGUGGAAAAGCAGGAAAAAUAAAAGUCAAAUACAACAAUUCUGAAAUGUAAAAGGACUUUAUAAUACUAAAAACAGAAUCCAUGGACAAAAAGAUUAAUUAAUCUGAGUAUAUAAAAAUAUGAAAAGUCUACACCAGAAAAUUUCAUAUCCUGAGUUUAAAAACACUUAGGGGGAGGAGAUCCCGUCGUGGCCCAGUGGUUAACGAAUCCAACUAGGAACCAUGAGGUUUCGGUUCGGUCCCUGGCCUUGCUCAGUGGGUUAAGGUGCUGCCAUAAACUGUGGUGUAAGUCGCAGAUGCUGCUUGGAUCCAGCGUUGCUGUGGCUGUGGCAGAGGCCGCCCACUACAGCUUCCAUUUGACCCCUAGCCUUGAAGCCUCCAUAUGCCACAAGUGCAGCCCUAAAAAGACAAAAAAAAAAAGUGCUUGUCGACCCAGCUAUUUGAUCAUAAGAAUUUAUUCUAAGGAAAGGAUCAGAGUGUACACAAAGAUAUAUCUUUAAGGGUAUUCAUUAGAGCAUCAUUUAAACAGUGUAAAUUUUUUAAAAAAAAAACCUAAAUGUUCAACGAAAAGGAACUAAUUAAAUACAUUUUCCCAUUAAUGCCUAUAUGAUGUAAUACAAAACAGCCACUAAAACUAGUUUAAAUCACUAAUGCCUUGGGAAAAUGUUCACAACUGAUUGUUAGAAAAAGAACCAAAGAAUUUAUCAUAUAAUCAGAAGUGAUUAAUUUAUGAUUUAUGAUUAGAAUUAUAUGUAAUAUGUAUAUAUCCUUAAUUCUUGAGACUGGAUACCCAAAAAUCUUAACUAUAGCUCUGUCCAGGGUGAUGAGAUUAUCAUGCUAUUUAUUUUCUCCCCUGGGUUUCUCCUAAACAUCCAUCUUUUCCAAAAUUAACAGUAUUAAUUUUCCAAAAGAUCAGUUAUUCCAAUAGGUAUUAUGAUGUACUAAUAUAUCAAUAUGUUAAAAUUAAAAUAUUUCAAUAUAUGAAUACACUAAAAUAGGAAUAGCUGAUAAAAAUUUCA